UACUUAGGUUUCAAGCGUUAUCCGGAAUUAUUGGGCGUAAAGCGCGCGUAGGCGGUUUUUUAAGUCUGAUGUGAAAGCCCACGGCCCAACCGUGGAGGGUCAUUGGAAACUGGAAAACUUGAGUGCAGAAGAGGAAAGUGGAAUUCCAUGUGUAGCGGUGAAAUGCGAAGAGAUAUGGAGGAACACCAGUGGCGAAGACGACUUUCGGGUCAGUAACUGACGCGGAUGUGCGAAAGCGUGGGGAUCAAACAGG
This 253-nucleotide ribosomal RNA is filed under the name uncultured bacterium. RNAcentral describes it as "partial 16S ribosomal RNA". It matches the Rfam family "Bacterial small subunit ribosomal RNA", at positions 524 to 776 of the family's 1533-position model. The record is from RNAcentral.